GGCCACAGCCAUAUCACCCUGCAGCCCAAGACCGGUUACUCACUGAAGCUAAGCAGGGCUAAGCCUGGUUAGUACCUGGAUGGGAGACCACGAGGGAACACUAGGUUGCUGUUGGAA
RNAcentral lists this ribosomal RNA (117 nucleotides) under Danio rerio (zebrafish). Lineage: Eukaryota; Metazoa; Chordata; Actinopteri; Cypriniformes; Danionidae. The record is from RNAcentral.